CACGUAGGGUGCGAGCGUUUGUCCGGAAUUAUUGGGCGUAAAGAGCUCGUAGGCGGUGUGUCGCGUCGGCCGUGAAAACCUGCAGCUUAACUGUGGGCUUGCGGUCGAUACGGGCAUCACUGGAGUUCGGCAGGGGAGACUGGAAUUCCUGGUGUAGCGGUGAAAUGCGCAGAUAUCAGGAGGAACACCGGUGGCGAAGGCGGGUCUCUGGGCAGUAACUGACGCUGAGGAGCGAAAGCGUGGGGAGCGAACAGG
RNAcentral lists this ribosomal RNA (255 nucleotides) under uncultured bacterium. RNAcentral's name for it is "partial 16S ribosomal RNA". It matches the Rfam family "Bacterial small subunit ribosomal RNA", at positions 524 to 776 of the family's 1533-position model. The record is from RNAcentral.